RNAcentral lists this ribosomal RNA (492 nucleotides) under uncultured bacterium. Its description in RNAcentral is "partial 16S ribosomal RNA". It matches the Rfam family "Bacterial small subunit ribosomal RNA", at positions 29 to 507 of the family's 1533-position model. The record is from RNAcentral.
AGUGAACGCUGGCGGUAGGCCUAACACAUGCAAGUCGAACGGCAGCACAGUAAGAGCUUGCUCUUACGGGUGGCGAGUGGCGGACGGGUGAGGAAUAUAUCGGAAUCUACUUUUUCGUGGGGGAUAACGUAGGGAAACUUACGCUAAUACCGCAUACGACCUACGGGUGAAAGCAGGGGAUCUUCGGACCUUGCGCGAUUGAAUGAGCCGAUGUCGGAUUAGCUAGUUGGCGGGGUAAAGGCCCACCAAGGCGACGAUCCGUAGCUGGUCUGAGAGGAUGAUCAGCCACACUGGAACUGAGACACGGUCCAGACUCCUACGGGAGGCAGCAGUGGGGAAUAGUGGACAAUGGGCGCAAGCCUGAUCCAGCCAUACCGCGUGGGUGAAGAAGGCCUUCGGGUUGUAAAGCCCUUUUGUUGGGAAAGAAAAGCAGCAGGUUAAUACCCCGCUGUUCUGACGGUACCCAAAGAAUAAGCACCGGCUAACUUCGUG